This 324-nucleotide long non-coding RNA is filed under the name Callithrix jacchus (white-tufted-ear marmoset). RNAcentral describes it as "lncRNA (ENSCJAG00000072397.1)". Lineage: Eukaryota; Metazoa; Chordata; Mammalia; Primates; Cebidae. The record is from RNAcentral.
UCACAAAUGAGUCCUGCACUGACUGCGCAGGUUUUGUCUUUUUCAACAGAUGCUGACAUCGUUUUAUGAAUGCAAACAGUCAAGGAGAGCAGAUGUUGAGUGGUUGCCAGAGUGAAAUGAGGAAGCCCUGCUGCCAGCUUCCCACCAAAAAGCAGGGGCUCUGACCUCCAGUAUCAGCCUUCCAAGGAGAGAAUGGUAGUAUAACCAUGACUGGAGACCAACUGUUCCAGGUAAGAAUAUUUUGGCAGAUUUUAAAAGCAACUCUUACUGGUGUUGAUUGACUUAAAAAUAUUUUAAAAAUAUAAUACAUUAUAAACCUCUUCA